This 330-nucleotide ribosomal RNA is filed under the name uncultured bacterium. RNAcentral's name for it is "bacterial SSU rRNA". It matches the Rfam family "Bacterial small subunit ribosomal RNA", at positions 568 to 898 of the family's 1533-position model. The record is from RNAcentral.
CGCGUAGGUGGUAGUGCAAGUCUGAGGUGGAAUCCUAUGGCUUAACCAUAGAACUGCCUUGGAGACUGCAUUACUUGAGUCAGUGAGGGGAGGGUAGAAUUCCUGGUGUAGCGGUGAAAUGCGUAGAUAUCAGGAGGAAGGCCGGUGGCAAAGGCGGCCCUCUGGCGCUGAACUGACACUGAGGCGCGAAAGCGUGGGGAGCAAACAGGAUUAGAUACCCUGGUAGUCCACGCCCUAAACGGUGGGUACUAGGUGUAGGGCUCGUAAGGGUUCUGUGCCGAAGCGAAAGCAUUAAGUACCCCGCCUGGGGAGUACGGCCGCAAGGUUGAA